This 253-nucleotide ribosomal RNA is filed under the name uncultured bacterium. RNAcentral's name for it is "partial 16S ribosomal RNA". It matches the Rfam family "Bacterial small subunit ribosomal RNA", at positions 524 to 776 of the family's 1533-position model. The record is from RNAcentral.
UACGUAGGGUGCAGGCGUUAAUCGGAAUUACUGGGCGUAAAGCGUGCGCAGGCGGUUUGCUAAGUCAGGUGUGAAAUCCCCGGGCUUAACCUGGGAACUGCGCUUGUAACUGGCAAGCUUGAGUGUGGCAGAGGGGGGUGGAAUUCCACGUGUAGCAGUGAAAUGCGUAGAGAUGUGGAGGAACACCGAUGGCGAAGGCAGCCCCCUGGGCUGACACUGACGCUCAUGCGCGAAAGCGUGGGGAGCAAACAGG